Molecule: unclassified non-coding RNA, 234 nt
Filed under: uncultured fungus
Lineage: Eukaryota; Fungi
Description: sequence contains ITS1, 5.8S rRNA gene
Rfam family: 5.8S ribosomal RNA (bases 186-234)
Source: RNAcentral
UUUCCGUAGGUGAACCUGCGGAAGGAUCAUUAUCAAGAGUCUGCGCCAAAAGUGCAGCUCGCCUCUCACCCUUGCUUAUACGCACCUUUUGUUGUUUCCUCGGCGGGGCUUCCCCCUGCCGGUGGGACGCUCAUUUAAACCUUUCGCAUCAGCAUGAAACUUCUGAACAUAACCUAAAUAUUUACAACUUUCAACAAUGGAUCUCUUGGUUCUGGCAUCGAUGAAGAACGCAGC